UGAGUAACCUGCCCUUAACUCUGGGAUAAGCCUGGGAAACUGGGUCUAAUACCGGAUAUGACUCCUCAUCGCAUGGUGGGGGGUGGAAAGCUUUUUUGUGGUUUUGGAUGGACUCGCGGCCUAUCAGCUUGUUGGUGAGGUAAUGGCUCACCAAGGCGACGACGGGUAGCCGGCCUGAGAGGGUGACCGGCCACACUGGGACUGAGACACGGCCCAGACUCCGUACGGGAGGCAG
RNAcentral lists this ribosomal RNA (235 nucleotides) under uncultured bacterium. RNAcentral describes it as "partial 16S ribosomal RNA". It matches the Rfam family "Bacterial small subunit ribosomal RNA", at positions 118 to 351 of the family's 1533-position model. The record is from RNAcentral.